This 8313-nucleotide small RNA is filed under the name Manduca sexta (tobacco hornworm). RNAcentral describes it as "uncharacterized LOC115441055". The record is from RNAcentral. Lineage: Eukaryota; Metazoa; Arthropoda; Insecta; Lepidoptera; Sphingidae.
UGGCAGUCCCUCGGCGACCAGCGCGCCCGCCGCCCGUUAAUCGCGCCGACCCGCGCCCCUAUCGCGCCCGUAUCGCGCCCCGGCAAGCGCGGCUCUCGCAGGCCCGAUGGACUACGAUCGACCAAACGAACUCACAAUACCUAUAACACUACUUUUCAAUCACCCCUUGGCACUCUCCAAAAACCUCGAUAAAAUUAGCGACCGAAUUGCGCGAGCUUAAGAUGACACUCAAACUCUGUUGCGGAAACUUUUGUCGACUUUCGAAGACAUUUAGUGAUUGACAUAUCCAUUUUAGUGGAAUCCUCUAUAGAAGUUUCGUUUUAAUUUUAAAUAUGCAUCUAAAAGGCAAAAUAUAUAGAAGCUUAUUUAUACACAAAAAGCGACUGAAAUUUUCUGAUUGCGACCUUUAAAAAUUUACACGCAAUUUGUGAACUGUUUACACGAUUUAUAGACGGUUUUGAAAUUUAUUUCCUACUUAAAAAGCAACCCUUAGAUAAAUAGAGUGAUUUUGACCAAAGACAUUGAAAUAUAAAUAGUUUUAAGUGUGUAAAACUGUAUAGUUACGGCAAUAGAAGUGUUUGAAAGACAUUAAUCGUGCUUAGUAUAUGUAGUUUAGGUGUUAAUAACUCUAUAGUGAAUGUUUUAGUGCAAUUUUGUUCAUCAGUUAAUCAACGGCUGUCAAAAAAUUACUUGGAUGAAGACUUGUUCGGGGCUGACAUUACGUGAAGAAUCUUUCUCCUUACUGCUAGUCAUGGCUCAAUACCUUUCCUGUAAAACAUUCCUUAGUCGUUCUUCCACGUGUGUAGUCUGCGGAAAAUAACAUCUAUAUUAAAAACAUUCCACUACCUUGAUUGUCUUAAUUGUCCGAGUAGUGUAAUUUAUUUUGUUUUUGGGAGUUACAAAGCUGAUAGUGUCCGCCAGUCGAGGGUAGAGGAAGUGAGCUCGAGUAACGCGCGGUAACCUCUUCGGAGGGCGCGAGACGCCUGCGCGAUGCGGUCUCGCCAGGGAUGUACGUAAUAUAUCCUGCGGAUGAAGUAGUUUCCCUGACAUACAGCUCGCACUCGCUGCCCCGGCCACGGCAGCGGCCUACGCUCGACGUGCUCUUCGGGCCGCUGCCGCCCGCGCCGACCAGCGCACAUUCCCCGCCCUUAGCCCCCACCCUCGUUUGCGGCAACUCUCUCAAAACGGCGCCCCCGGAGCCUGCGGAGCGCGCGCCGGCAUCGCCGACGCCGUCGCUCGAGCGCUCGGCCAAGCUGCGCGAGCGCACCAAGAACAAAUUGUUUAAAAAAUUAGGCCGCCACGAGAAUAAUGAAUUCGGCAAAAUUGUUAGAACUCCCGCCCCCGACGAAUUUGAGCUACCCGCCCCUUUACCCACCCCCGGCGUUUUCAAGGAAGAAUAUAUUUGAUCGCGACUUCGAUGCACUUUUCGAAGUGGCCAGCACACCCCAGUUCGGAGCGAACAUACGCGUCACCACUCCAGAACCAGAUCGUCGCUCCGACGUUUCAGCAAUACAUUUCCCUUCUCCCGCGGAGUCAGCACACAGCCUUCCUCCGCGGCCCAACUCUGAACCCACACCCUCGCCUGCGACCUCUGCCCGUACCUCCACGCCAUCGACGCCCACGCCUCAACGAUCGUCCUUUGAAGGAUCAAAUUCAAAACCGAAGAAAGUUAGUUUCUUCCGCAAGCUCAGUCGAUCGAAAGAAGCAACGACUUCGCGUCCACCUGCGCCCACCAUGCAGCAGCCGUCGGUCGAAAUGGCGCUGCGAGAACUAACACACCCUGCGCAUAAUGAUCAACUCAAAAACCAACAACAAGUCACUUUCAAGUUAGUUAAAACAGUGUCUGACUUCACAAGUCAAUUAUCACAACUGUAUGAACGACACUCGUCAGAGCUCCAGGUCCUCAUAGCUAACUUCAGAAAACGCAACAGUGAACUCAGGAAAGAAAGAGCAAGCUGUCCCUCCUCCCUUUUCCACACAUGGGAAACUUUACUACAAGAAUUGGAGGCAGAUAUCGUGGGUUUCAACAACGCAUCAUCUUCUCUUGAACGACUGGUGGCGACUCCUCUUAUAGACCGCACGUUCCAUAUGAAGGUGCAGGCGAGGAAGCUGUUUGCUCAUCGAGAAGGGUGCGAAGUGAUACUUGGCAAGGCAGAUGAUCAACUUACGAAGAGCCGUCAAGACUACAGAGCGGCAUUUUUGAACUACUGCAACAACCCCAACCCAGCUGCCUUGGCUACCUACUACGAUUCCCACAAUACCUACGUCCAACAAUUAACGGCCACCAAUGCGAUGCUCGACCAAUACCAUAAGCAUACUCUGCCCACGUUGUUGCAGGAGUUGGAAGAGAUAUUGACUGAUGUCACUUCGGCUGUUAGCGACGCCAUUUGUCAAGAAGGCGAAAUAAUCUCGGAAAUGAGUAACUCCCGGCUCCGUCGAUACGAAUCGCUGUGUGCCCAAGCCCGUGCCGUCUCCAGUACAGCAGACCUAGCGCACCUGGCCCGCGCGUUGCUGACUGCCCAACCUCCUAUGAAACCGCCGAAGAGACCCUUCCUACCACCCUACCCGCCGGAGCCAGAUGACUUACCACUUGAUGUUCCAGCGGAAAGUAUGCCGCCUGUGCUUCGUGGAGAAAUGCUCUUGGACCGCAUGGGAGGCGCACAAGCUCGUCUCAAUUAUGAACAACUGAGGAAGGACUCUCAAGAUCUAGAAAUACAAAUAAAGCAGCUGCAGGACAGUCUCGAUUCGUUAGCUCGUCAUCAAAAUCGAAGCCUGGAAAGUAAUCUUUACAACAAAGUAAACGAAAUACAGGAGGAAAUUUCUAUGAAAAAUACGACUACAGGGCUUCGCAACUACAUCUAGCAGCGAUAAGAGCUCAGCGGGAGUUAUUUGCGGCGAAAGCAGACAGUGGUGCGACAGCUGUAGAUCGUAAGCUCUCGUCCUCAUCAGCAGGCAGCAUGAAGAAUAAAUGGUUAAAGGCCUUCCGCAGUCUGAAGCCGCCCAGCGCGCCUCCACCUCACGCCGCACCACCAGACAAAAAAAAUCAAAUGUACCACGCGGUGUCGACGGUAAUGGCGAUGAGGAGGAAUGGAGCGGCUCGUGAAGCGAUGCGAUCGGGAGACUCGGAGGCUCACAACUUCCAAGAAUACACCUAUAAGAAAAUAACGCCGUGCGACGUUUGCUCACAAGUCCUUAGAGGGCACACUAGGCAAGGACUCCGUUGUCGCCUAUGCAAGAUGAACGUGCACACAGACUGCAUGCCUCAAGUCGGCAAGUGCCAGACCAAGUCGCGACUCCUGCGCCGCCAGAAGAGCACCUCGGAAAUAGAGUCGCAUCGGGUGCAAGAAACCGCCUUCGAUGAUGAAACGCCGCAUUCACCGAGACGUCAAAAGUUGAACCUUAGAAUGAAGAGCUUAUCGCUGGACUCGCCGGAAUGUGGAGAGCUGAGGCGCCGGCCGCCGCGCGACCACCCGCCCGCGCAGGGCAGCCGCGUCCUGUGUAAAUGCAGAGCAAAUUGCAUGAGACAUGGCUUUAAUAGCGUAAAUAUCUACACCAUUUAUAGUCACACACGCUCAUCGCCUUCGUCGCCAGUUCAUAGUAGGCGAUUAUUGAGUGCCCGUGGAGGUCGAAUGAGUAGCGUGGAACUCCCUGACGAGCCUGACAAGAGCCUGUCUUCAAAUAGUGCCAGCCCUUGCCCCUCACCUGUCAAGCAACCCAGCAAACACCAACGGCUUCUGCCGACAAAUCUCUAUGUGAUUCUUUACAACUUCAAAUCACGCCAUGCUGAUGAGCUGGACCUCAAGGCUGGGUACAAAGUAACCGUCAUCGACACCUCUGAUCCUGAUUGGUGGAAGGGAAAAUGUUUAGGCAAGAUCGGAUACUUCCCUUCCAAAUACUGCACUAAGCUACAGGCAGGCGAGAGACCGCUUCAAGUCACGCAUAAUCUCCAAGUAUCUGACGGUGACAAUGGACUGAUGCUUCUCCGCGAUCAGAUCGUGAUCCAAGUAGGCGAUGAAGUUGACGGCAUGGUGAUGAUUCGCUCCGGAGACAACCGGCAGGGAGUGUGUCCUGUGAAGUUCCUACAGGAAGUGUGACGCUUCAAGCUACCUCACUUCGAUAUCAUGAAAAAACGCGGCUCUCUAACGGACGACAAGAUCAGACACUACGAACCCAAAACAAUACGCAGCGCGCCGGUCACUCCUUGCGACAGUGACAACUCCACCUGGUCGGACAGAUGGAUACGAAAGAACCACGACCACUACAGCGGAUACGACAAACCGUACGACAGCUAUAUUGGCAAUGAAGGUACUUCGGCAUAUGACAAGGCUAGUUACGAGGAGUCUGUUGAGGGUGUGUGGUGGUGGCGAAGACCUCUCGGCGUCAGGAGAACGCAUUGCCGAAGAUGCGGCGCUUCGUCUUCUUCGAGACCCCUCCGCAUGUCCCCGUGUGCAGGCAUGAGCCAGGACGAAGAUGGCGCCGAACGCAGACCGAUCAUGUCACGUGACCGACCCUUGAAUUUCGUCAGGCAAUUGUUUUUAUAGAUUUAAUUUUCUGACAUCUGAAAUUCUGAUUAAACUAUGAUGAUUAAAUUAUGACGUGCUAAAAACUUGCAAUAGAACGCGUGAUACUUACAUAGUUAUUAGUAUAAUGUAUCACGUGUAGUUUGAAUGAAGCCCAACGGCCUAGAUUCUAGCUGAUGGGCAUUAGCGAUUACCGAGCCUAAGCAUGACAUGCAAGAGGAGCUUCACUAAUAUAAACACCCUUCAAAGCAAAAAAAAAAUGUAUCCUAUGUAUUAUAUAGUAGAAGAGUGGGCAAAAGAAAUAUUUUUACCAAUAUAUAGUUAAAUUAUGGUACAUUUUCAAACUCAAAUCAUAUAAGUGUGAAGCUUUUUUUUUACAAAAUAUGGGUAAGACUAAAGAAUCUUAUGAUUUUAAUAAUGAUUCUUCUCGUUUGAAUUUCAAAGGGUGUUAUAAAUACCAAAGAUAUGGCCUACCGUAGAAUUAUUUCGAUAAUUUGUGUUCCUUCCAUAUUUUACAAAAGUUUCGUAAUAAAUAUUUGUAUAUUAUUGAAUAAUAUGUGAAUUAUUGCGAAAAAUAUAUACUUGGUUACCAACAUAUCAUUUUGAAAUAUUGUGUAAUAUAAUUAAUUUUAUUGUGAUAUUUACAUAUUUAGAUGUUAAUUACCAUGCAUCACAUAUUUCUUUAGCAUCACUGAAUAUGUCAGCUUUCAAAUAUUUAGGGCGAGAAUAACGUUCUGUAAUCUGACGCAUUUAGGACAGUCAACAGAUAGUGUUGAAUCCAGUCAUUGAGAUAUAAACGUAUUAGUUAAAAGGUCAGUUAACUGUUAUCGACACUUAUACUAUCAAUAUUUCAACACACCAUAGGACAAAGUCGUAUAAAUAACUCUACCUUUCGGAAGAAUUAUCUAUAAUGAUUUUUAUAACAUUUUUUGUCAGUUAUUUAGAACAUAUUAUAUUUGUUUGUUUUGAAUGUAUAGAACGAGAACUAUUAAACAUUUAAUUUAAAAAAUAUCUUCUGAAAAAGCGAGCUUUCAAUCGACUUUUUCUAUGUCGAUUUCAGUAUAAAUUUACGUUGACAGUUACUGCCAAUAUAUAUGUAGUAAAAAAUACUUAUAAUUUGACAAUCAUUAAUUCUAGUCGAGUAUCUGUGUUGUAAGACGUAGUGUUUAAUAGUAGAUACAGUUUGAGUGCUUAGCAAUAGGAUAAAACAUUCCAAUAUUUUUAUUGGCAUACUGGCGUCAGCUUUUAAAUCUUUAGAAAUCUAGAUAUUAUCUAGAGGACAUUUCCAAAAUGUCUUUCCUAUUGCAAUUAAUCCAUCCAUUUCCUUUGCGAAUUAAUGCUGUUCUAUUAUAGGCUUUUACCCUUCAUAGUCCAAUUCGUUGAAUUUAACAAUUGUAUUUAUCAAAAAUGCUAUUAAUUUUUAAUAUAAAUUAUAUUUUAGUUGACAUGCUAAGCCGUCCCCUGAAGUUUUAAGAAUAUAAAUUAUGAAUGUAAUAUUGAAAACCUAGCAUAAGUACCUCAUAUUAUUCGUAUUUAGCAUGCAGAGAUAAUUAUAGAUAAUGUUGACACUAAUUAUGUCCCCCUAAAAUAUAUCUUAAAAUAUUUUAAUCUGAGCAUCCUCUAAUAGGUUAACUAUCGACCAGUACAGCAAAAUAUUUGCAAUAGAAGCCUAGUUACAAAGACGUCUACUUGAUAAGAUAUUAUUAUUGGCUGAUGCCAUAGAUUGAUAUGAAACAGAUGGUAAAUUAUUACUGCUUUUAAUAAAGUAAAAGUCGAUAUGGACGUCUUCCCCAGGAAAAAGAAGAGUUUAAAAGGAUAUUUAUAAAAUGUGUUAGGGCUCGGCAACCUUCUGAGGGUAUGAAAGGCAAAGCUGCUUCUUCUCGACGGUUUUCCAAACAAUUGUAUCCACUAGUCACAUCUCUAAACAAAACUGCUCACACCCCGCUGUACUAGUUUUAUUUCGUAUCAAAUUAAAUAAUUAAUUAUCAUUUCAUAACAAUGUUAUUUACUCUUGCUUUAAUUUAGAAGUAUGCUAAGGUUAAAAUAUUUUAAAUGUUAUAGUCAAAGUAUACUUAGACGUAACUAAGGUAUUUAUAGGUGGCAUGUUUUUACCGUAUGAAUAUAAUAUUUUUAUUUGCUUUUUGAUUAGGACGAGUAAAUUACUAUGUAGAGUCGUGUAUACGUGAUAAACGUUUUAGGAUCAGCAAGGAAUAUAGCAGCACUUCAACACUAUUUAUCACCUACUUAUUUCAUUUUGUUUGUGCUUUGUUUUAUAUCCUAAUGUACUAUGUCAAGACUUCGGUGCGUAACAUAUUUUUAGAACAUGAAGAAAUGUUUUAUUUUGUUACUAUUUCUGUUUUUACAAAAUAUGCAGAAGAGGACAGUAAAGAAUUAUAAUAAAAAUGUCGUACACAAAAUUAGUUUAUUAUAAUAUCAAUAGUCUACGAUGGUGAUAAAUGGUGUACUAUUUACAAAUAAAUAAUGGUUUAAGAAAACACUCACACUUAUAAACAAAAAUAAUAACAAGAAGCUUAAUAGACUAUCUUUCGCUAAAAUCCUUAUAAAUCCUAUAUAUAUUUUAGUGUUUAUUUUUCUAAUUAAAAUAAAAACUUAAAUCUCCCUACUUUUCAUAAAAAAAUGCCUGAAAUUGAAUAUUACUAAAACGAAUGUGAUGUAUGUAUUUAUAUAUAUGGAAUAAUAUAUUGAGAAAUUGAGAUCAGUUCGUACAGGAGUUUUGAAAGGGCGUCAUAAGUCAAUAUUGUUCUUCCGACACACUGAAUGCAUACAAACUUUUUUUUAUAUUCUAAAUGAGCGGUAUUUGUUUUGAUAAAAAUAAUAAUAACGCCAAAAACAGCUUCCACUACAGUAUUAUUAUUACUAUUAUUUUGUUUUUAGAGUUAUUAAUUGCCAUUUUUAUUGUAUUUCACAUUCUCUGAAUCAUUGCUAAUAUUUAAAUGCAUACUAUGGCUAUUUAAUGGUCGUAAUCAUCUGCAAAGGCAGAUAUUUUUUGGGUAUAUUUUGUUGUCCCCAUAUAACAUUUAAUAUUAUAUAUUAUAUAAUGACUUGUAAACAAGAAAAAAACGUCUUCCCUUGCACAAACUUGAAGAUGUUCAAUCCUCCUGUACGAACUUGUAAUGUGUCAUAAAUCAUACGAGUAAGGGUAUAAUAAAUAUCAGGUACAGAAAACGGAACCAAAUUAUUAUAAUAUAUAAGUAAAAUAAUCCCUAGGAAUAUUUGCAAAACUAUUCCCAAGUGAGAUGUUUUAUUAUAACAAGUAUAUAUAAAUAUUUAGAAAUAUAUAACAUAAAGAUUAUAAUGUUAAGGCCUUCUCGUAAAUAUUAUACGAUUUUUGUUUUGUUUCGUUAUGUAUUUGUAGUCAUAUCAAAAUUAUUAAGUAACUAUUUUAUUUAAAAAAUUAUGCAUUUAUAAUUUUAAAUGGAAAAUUAUAAACCACAAAUAACUAUCGACACUACAGUGGAUAGUUAUUCGAUACCUAUUGUUAUAAAUCAUAAAAAAGAUAUGGAUCUAUGUUACUCGAGCUGAUAUUGUUGCGUAGGUAGACGAAGGCCUCCCCUUAAUGUUAAUCGUGAUCACGAAUUAUCCAAUGAGCUAUUAUUGUAAGUUACACCGACUUUAGGUUUAACAAAAAAUCAGUUGUAUUACUUUGCUGUUUAGGCAUUCGUAAAAGAAAAAAUGUUUAGAAACAUUAUGCUUAAUUUACGUUUAAAAUGCGUUGAUUUAUUCAGGAUAUUUAUUAACAAUGUUGUGUUUAGAAUAAAGAUUGUGUCAUGAA